RNAcentral lists this unclassified non-coding RNA (216 nucleotides) under Hevea brasiliensis (rubber tree). The record is from RNAcentral. Lineage: Eukaryota; Viridiplantae; Streptophyta; Magnoliopsida; Malpighiales; Euphorbiaceae.
CUAAGACACACGCUGCAUUCUGCAAAUGAGGAUUUUGUCAAAAAACAGAUUCUAAAGGAGAAAAGAAGGGGCAGAGGUUUGGCGGGAGGAAAGAAAUCAGUCACCAUUUUCCCUCUAUUAAGAAAACAUCUGUUUCUGCUGAACCACCAAAAGUGUAGGAUGACUUAACUAAUAACAAUAAUAAUAAAAAUAAAUUAUAGAGAGAGAGAGAGAGAG